Molecule: unclassified non-coding RNA, 119 nt
Filed under: Acartia pacifica
Lineage: Eukaryota; Metazoa; Arthropoda; Copepoda; Calanoida; Acartiidae
Description: partial trans-spliced leader sequence
Source: RNAcentral
UCACUUCAUUAAGAGGUGUGUAUCCAAGUUGGCUGUGUCCCUCGCUUGACUUCAGCGCCAGGCUGAGAGUACAGUCUAGCUUGUGACAGUGUUUCUGCUGGAUUAAAGACAAUCCUAUC